UACGUAGGGUGCGAGCGUUAAUCGGAAUUACUGGGCGUAAAGCGUGUGCAGGCGGUUUGUUAAGACAGGUGUGAAAUCCCCGGGCUUAACCUGGUAAUUGCGCUUGUUACUGGCAAGCUAGAGUGCGUCAGAGGGAGGUGGAAUUCCACGUGUAGCAGUGAAAUGCGUAGAGAUGUGGAGGAACACCGAUGGCGAAGGCAGCCUCCUGGGAUGACACUGACGCUCAUACACGAAAGCGUGGGGAGCAAACAGG
Molecule: ribosomal RNA, 253 nt
Filed under: uncultured bacterium
Lineage: Bacteria
Description: partial 16S ribosomal RNA
Rfam family: Bacterial small subunit ribosomal RNA
Source: RNAcentral